Molecule: ribosomal RNA, 254 nt
Filed under: uncultured bacterium
Lineage: Bacteria
Description: partial 16S ribosomal RNA
Rfam family: Bacterial small subunit ribosomal RNA
Source: RNAcentral
UACAGAGGUCUCAAGCGUUGUUCGGAUUCAUUGGGCGUAAAGGGCGCGUAGGCGGUCGUGACAAGUCACUUGUGAAAUCUCCGGGCUUAACUCGGAACGGUCAAGUGAUACUGUCGGACUAGAGUACAGAAGGGGCAACUGGAAUUCUCGGUGUAGCGGUGAAAUGCGCAGAUAUCAGGAAGAACACCAAUGGCGAAAGCAGCUCUCUGGGACGGUACUGACGCUGAGACGCGAAAGCGUGGGGAGCGAACAGG